Molecule: ribosomal RNA, 446 nt
Filed under: uncultured bacterium
Lineage: Bacteria
Description: bacterial SSU rRNA
Rfam family: Bacterial small subunit ribosomal RNA
Source: RNAcentral
AUCCAGACUCCUACGGGAGGCAGCAGUGGGGGAUAUUGCACAAUGGGGGAAACCCUGAUGCAGCGACGCCGCGUGGGUGAAGAAGCGCCUCGGCGCGUAAAGCCCUGUCAGCAGGGAAGAAAAUGACGGUACCUGAAGAAGAAGCCCCGGCUAACUACGUGCCAGCAGCCGCGGUAAUACGUAGGGGGCGAGCGUUAUCCGGAUUCACUGGGUGUAAAGGGAGCGUAGACGGCCAUGCAAGCCAGGGGUGAAAGCCUGGGGCCCAACCCCGGGACUGCCCUUGGAACUGCAUGGCUGGAGUGCGGGAGGGGCAGGCGGAAUUCCUGGUGUAGCGGUGAAAUGCGUAGAUAUUAGGAGGAACACCAGUGGCGAAGGCGGCCUGCUGGGCUUUAACUGACGCUGAGGCUCGAAAGUGUGGGUAGCAAACAGGAUUAGAUACCCUUGUA